This 500-nucleotide ribosomal RNA is filed under the name uncultured bacterium. RNAcentral's name for it is "partial 16S ribosomal RNA". It matches the Rfam family "Bacterial small subunit ribosomal RNA", at positions 30 to 523 of the family's 1533-position model. The record is from RNAcentral.
AUUGAACGCUGGCGGCAGGCUUAACACAUGCAAGUCGAGCGGGGGAAGGUAGCUUGCUACCGGACCUAGCGGCGGACGGUUGAGUAAUGCUUAGGAAUCUGCCUAUUAGUGGGGGACAACAUCUCGAAAGGGAUGCUAAUACCGCAUACGUCCUACGGGAGAAAGCAGGGGAUCUUCGGACCUUGCGCUAAUAGAUGAGCCUACGUCGGAUUAGCUAGUUGGUGGGGUAAAGGCCUACCAAGGCGAUGAUCUGUAGCGGGUCUGAGAGGAUGAUCCGCCACACUGGGACUGCGACACGGCCCAGACUCCUACGGGAGGCAGCAGUGGGGAAUAUUGGACAAUGGGGGAACCCUGAUCCAGCCAUGCCGCGUGUGUGAAGAAGGCCUUAUGGUUGUAAAGCACUUUAAGCGAGGAGGAGGCUACUUUAGUUAAUACCUAGAGAUAGUGGACGUUACUCGCAGAAUAAGCACCGGCUAACUCUGUGCCAGCCGCCGCGGUAA